UACGGAGGGGGGCUAGCGUUGUUCGGAAUUACUGGGCGUAAAGCGCACGUAGGCGGCGAUCUAAGUCAGAGGUGAAAGCCCGGGGCUCAACCCCGGAACUGCCUUUGAGACUGGAUUGCUAGAAUCACGGAGAGGUGGGUGGAAUUCCGAGUGUAGAGGUGAAAUUCGUAGAUAUUCGGAAGAACACCAGUGGCGAAGGCGGCCCACUGGACGUGUAUUGACGCUGAGGUGCGAAAGCGUGGGGAGCAAACAGG
RNAcentral lists this ribosomal RNA (254 nucleotides) under uncultured bacterium. RNAcentral's name for it is "partial 16S ribosomal RNA". It matches the Rfam family "Bacterial small subunit ribosomal RNA", at positions 524 to 776 of the family's 1533-position model. The record is from RNAcentral.